AGUACGGUCGCAAGACUGAAACUCAAAGAAAUUGACGGGGGCGCGCACAAGCGGUGGAGCAUGUGGUUUAAUUAGAAGCAACGCGAAGAACAUUACCAGGUCUCGACAUCAUGUGACAACCGUAGAGAUAGGGCUUCCCCUUCGGGGGCAGAGUGACAACACGUGCAUGGCAGUGGUCAGGUCGUGUCGUGAGAUGUGGGGUUAAGUCCCGCAACGAGCGCAACCCAAGCUUUUACUUUCCAGCAUUCAGUUGGGCACUCUAAGGUGACUGCCGGUGACAAACCGGAGGAAGGUGGGGAUGACGUCAAAUCAUCAUGCCCCUUAUGACCUGGGCUACACACGUGAUACAAUGGUCAGAACAAAGGGCAGCGAAGCCGCGAGGGUAAGCCAAUCUCACAAAUCUGUUCUCAGUUCGGAUCGCAGUCUGCAACUCGACUGCGUGAAGUUGGAAUCGCUAGUAAUCGCGGAUCAGCAUGCCGCGGUGAAUACGUUCCCGGGCCUUGUACACACCGCCCGUCACACCACGAGAGUUUGUAACACCAGAAGUCGGUGAGGUAACCGUAAGAGCCU
RNAcentral lists this ribosomal RNA (570 nucleotides) under Bacillus licheniformis. RNAcentral's name for it is "bacterial SSU rRNA". It matches the Rfam family "Bacterial small subunit ribosomal RNA", at positions 879 to 1451 of the family's 1533-position model. The record is from RNAcentral. Lineage: Bacteria; Bacillati; Bacillota; Bacilli; Caryophanales; Bacillaceae.